Molecule: long non-coding RNA, 367 nt
Filed under: Hordeum vulgare
Lineage: Eukaryota; Viridiplantae; Streptophyta; Magnoliopsida; Poales; Poaceae
Description: long non-coding RNA (HVUL_LNC018320)
Source: RNAcentral
GGUUGGAAAGAGAUUUGUCUACUUAAUUUGCUGCUAAUCGGCGUGAUCUAAUCCAAGCGAAUGGAACGGAAUGCUAAUAUGCUAUCCAUCUUCCUCUCACGAGAGAGAGAGAGAAAGUUUCUGGUUGAGUUCCAGAUUCACUACCAUAUCCCAGGUGUCUGAUUGAUCUUCUCAGAUAAGAGUUCCCCUCUACUAUGAUCUGCAUUAUCUUUGUGUUUUAUCGAAGGCUUUCGAGGGUGAUCUGCAGUCUCCUCUACGAUAUUGUAUACCCGAUGUAUAGGCAUCAUAUGUGUAAUGUCUUUUUUUAAAACAGUACAAUUGCAAGUAUUCAUACACACGCGUAUAUACUCAUCCGGCUUUACAAAGA